Gorilla gorilla gorilla (western lowland gorilla) is the source of this 633-nucleotide long non-coding RNA. RefSeq lists it as uncharacterized. NCBI's taxonomy places the organism in Eukaryota, Metazoa, Chordata, Mammalia, Primates, Hominidae. The record is from RefSeq and is a predicted model, not a curated record. The transcript is spliced from 5 exons.
CAUCACGUGGGACUUCAUCAUUUCGUUCUCCUUCUCGUAGCUGGCGCUGCUGUCGUAGGGCGUGUCGGACAGGCCCUUGUCCCCUGUGGAAAGCAGGCGACAGUGAGUGGGGCGCGGCCACCUCCGGAACAGGGCUGCAGAAGCUGUGACACAUUGGGAGUGACUGAUGGAAAUCUCAUCAAGUUGAAGCGGGGGUAAGGUGAGAAGAUUGAGGCCUGGAGGAAUCACCUGUAAGCCCCAGAUCCCUGGCUGACUGGCAGAGGAGACAGCACUCUGGCUGCAGAGCUCUGGCCAGCCUAGCCUUUAACUGGAGAAAACCAGCCACUGCCGUGUGGAUGCCAGCGACUGGACAGAGAUGUGAGGAAGGCCCGUGUGUUGGCCACAUUGUCUACAGAUUUGCCUCCAGAGUAGGCCUCAGUCUAUGCUGUGGGCUGGAUCUGCCAUGACGCUGGUGCUACAUCUAACACAGCCAGAGUGAAUUCAGCUCCAGGUGAACAGAAGCUACAGUAAGAAGACCAACAUGAAAGCCAAAAUUUGACUUCUGGACCAUUUAAUAGAGAAUGAAAAGGAUCUUUCUUUAUCUAUAUAAAGUGAUGUACCCUCAACAUAAGGAAAUAAUGUUGAAACACAGAA